CCAGACUCCUACGGGAGGCAGCAGUGGGGAAUAUUGCGCAGUGGGCGAAAGCCUGACGCAGCGACGCCGCGUGAGGGAUGAAGGUCUUCGGAUCGUAAACCUCUGUCAGCAGGGAAGAACGGUCACUGUGCUAAUCAGCAGUGAAUUGACGGUACCCGACCAAGAAGCCCCGGCUAACUACGUGCCAGCAGCCGCGGUAAUACGUAGGGGGCGAGCGUUAUCCGGAAUUACUGGGUGUAAAGGGAGCGUAGACGGCGAGGUAAGCCUGAAGUGGAAGCCCGCGGCCCAACCGCGGAACUGCUUUGGGAACUGUUUUGCUGGAGUAUGGGAGGGGGAAGCGGAAUUCCUGGUGUAGCGGUGAAAUGCGUAGAUAUCAGGAGGAACACCGGUGGCGAAGGCGGCUUACUGGACCAUAACUGACGUUGAGGCUCGAAAGCGUGGGGAGCGAACAGGAUUAGAUACCCCGGUACGC
RNAcentral lists this ribosomal RNA (472 nucleotides) under uncultured bacterium. RNAcentral describes it as "bacterial SSU rRNA". It matches the Rfam family "Bacterial small subunit ribosomal RNA", at positions 331 to 794 of the family's 1533-position model. The record is from RNAcentral.